GAACUGAAGAGUUUGAUCCUGGCUCAGAUUGAACGCUGGCGGCAUGCCUUACACAUGCAAGUCGAACGGCAGCACGGG
This 78-nucleotide non-coding RNA is filed under the name Paraburkholderia sp. Its description in RNAcentral is "partial 16S ribosomal RNA". It matches the Rfam family "Bacterial small subunit ribosomal RNA", at positions 1 to 78 of the family's 1533-position model. The record is from RNAcentral. RNAcentral also lists the same sequence under 2 other names. Lineage: Bacteria; Pseudomonadati; Pseudomonadota; Betaproteobacteria; Burkholderiales; Burkholderiaceae.